RNAcentral lists this ribosomal RNA (690 nucleotides) under Vibrio sp. KR04-75. RNAcentral describes it as "bacterial SSU rRNA". It matches the Rfam family "Bacterial small subunit ribosomal RNA", at positions 103 to 789 of the family's 1533-position model. Lineage: Bacteria; Pseudomonadati; Pseudomonadota; Gammaproteobacteria; Vibrionales; Vibrionaceae. The record is from RNAcentral.
CGGGUGAGUAAUGCCUGGGAAAUUGCCCUGAUGUGGGGGAUAACCAUUGGAAACGAUGGCUAAUACCGCAUAAUGUCUACGGACCAAAGAGGGGGACCUUCGGGCCUCUCGCUUCAGGAUAUGCCCAGGUGGGAUUAGCUAGUUGGUGAGGUAAUGGCUCACCAAGGCGACGAUCCCUAGCUGGUCUGAGAGGAUGAUCAGCCACACUGGAACUGAGACACGGUCCAGACUCCUACGGGAGGCAGCAGUGGGGAAUAUUGCACAAUGGGCGCAAGCCUGAUGCAGCCAUGCCGCGUGUAUGAAGAAGGCCUUCGGGUUGUAAAGUACUUUCAGUCGUGAGGAAGGCGUUGAAGUUAAUAGCUUCNUCGNUUGACGUUAGCGACAGAAGAAGCACCGGCUAACUCCGUGCCAGCAGCCGCGGUAAUACGGAGGGUGCGAGCGUUAAUCGGAAUUACUGGGCGUAAAGCGCAUGCAGGUGGUUUGUUAAGUCAGAUGUGAAAGCCCGGGGCUCAACCUCGGAACCGCAUUUGAAACUGGCAGGCUAGAGUACUGUAGAGGGGGGUAGAAUUUCNGGUGUAGCGGUGAAAUGCGUAGAGAUCUGAAGGAAUACCAGUGGCGAAGGCGGCCCCCUGGNNAGAUACUGACACUCAGAUGCGAAAGCGUGGGGAGCAAACAGGAUUAGAUACCCUG